GAUGAAGAACGUAGCGAAAUGCGAUAAGUAAUGUGAAUUGCAGAAUUCAGUGAAUCAUCGAAUCUUUGAACGCACAUUGCGCCCGACAGUAUUCUGGCGGGCAUGCCUGUCCGAGCGUCAUUUCAACCCUCGCGCCCAUCUGGGCUGCGGUGUUGGGGACCGGCCUGCCCCCCGGGGCGCGCCGCCCCCCAAAUUCAGUGGCGGUCUCGCUGCAGCCUCCCUUGCGUAGUAGCACACCUCGCACCGGAGCGCAGCGCGGCCACGCCGUAAAACCCCCGACCCCCAUGAGUUUGACCUCGGAUCAGGUAGGAAUACCCGCUGAACUUAAGCAUAUCAAUAAGCGGAGGA
Molecule: unclassified non-coding RNA, 348 nt
Filed under: soil metagenome
Description: partial contains 5.8S ribosomal RNA, internal transcribed spacer 2, and large subunit ribosomal RNA
Rfam family: 5.8S ribosomal RNA (bases 1-120)
Source: RNAcentral